CCCCGGGUAUAAGCAUAUCAAUAAGCGGAGGAAAAGAAACCAACAGGGAUUGCCCCAGUAACGGCGAGUGAAGCGGCAACAGCUCAAAUUUGAAAUCUGGCCCUCGGGUCCGAGUUGUAAUUUGUAGAGGAUGCUUUUGGCGAGGUGCCUUCCGAGUUCCCUGGAACGGGACGCCAUAGAGGGUGAGAGCCCCGUCUGGUCGGACACCGAGCCUCUGUAAAGCUCCUUCAACGAGUCGAGUAGUUUGGGAAUGCUGCUCAAAAUGGGAGGUAUAUGUCUUCUAAAGCUAAAUAUUGGCCAGAGACCGAUAGCGCACAAGUAGAGUGAUCGAAAGAUGAAAAGCACUUUGAAAAGAGGGUUAAAAAGUACGUGAAAUUGUUGAAAGGGAAGCGCUUAUGACCAGACUUGCGCCCGGUGAAUCAUCCAGCGUUCUCGCUGGUGCACUUUGCCGGGCACAGGCCAGCAUCAGUUUGGCGCGGGGGAAAAAGGCUUCGGGAAUGUGGCUCCCUCGGGAGUGUUAUAGCCCGCUGCGUAAUACCCUGCGCCGGACUGAGGUACGCGCAUUGCAAGGAUGCUGGCGUAAUGGUCAUCAGCGACCCGUCUUGAAACACGGACCAAGGAGUCGUCUUCGUAUGCGAGUGUUCGGGUGUCAAACCCCUACGCGUAAUGAAAGUGAACGCAGGUGAGAGCUUCGGCGCAUCAUCGACCGAUCCUGAUGUUCUCGGAUGGAUUUGAGUAAGAGCAUACGGGGCCGGACCCGAAAGAAGGUGAACUAUGCCUGUAUAGGGUGAAGCCAGAGGAAACUCUGGUGGAGGCUCGCAGCGGUUCUGACGUGCGAAUCGAUCGUCAAAUAUGGGCAUGGGGGCGAAAGACUAAUCGAA
This 881-nucleotide ribosomal RNA is filed under the name Beauveria pseudobassiana. RNAcentral's name for it is "partial large subunit ribosomal RNA". It matches the Rfam family "Eukaryotic large subunit ribosomal RNA", at positions 26 to 939 of the family's 3401-position model. The record is from RNAcentral. Lineage: Eukaryota; Fungi; Ascomycota; Sordariomycetes; Hypocreales; Cordycipitaceae.